AACCACCACCCAAAUUAUUCCUCUUCUGUUUAUGUUCCUCUUAACACUUUGAAAGUUUUGAUCAAAUUCACCCUUCAAACUUCAGAAAUGUGGUGAAUACAACCACAGUUGCGUUACCUUGCCAUGUCGUUUAGCAUCUCGUCUUUUGGGAGAAAAGCAGACAGAGACAGACCUACAGGAGAUACUUCGUGAGAGGUGAAACCUAGGCUGAUGUUUUUCCAACAUUCUGUGACUAUUGGCAGUUGGAUCUCGUUGACAGGAAAUCACAGGAACUGUGAGAAAUGAAUCCAUUCUUUCUUCUGCAUUCGAAUCCCUGCCCUACGGCUGGUACAGAGGUGACAGAUUCCUUCUGUGCUGUAUGUUUCUACGAUUUUAUGAAUGGUGAAAGGAGGAAGUGAUCCAAGAAUGACAUUCAUCUCAAACAGAAUGAAAACAGGAGUUAACCCAGUCAGACACCUAAACAAGAUGAAAACAGGAGUGAUCCCAGUCAGACACUUAAACAAGAUGAAAACAGGAAUGAUCCCAGUCUGACACUUAAACAAGAUGAAAACAGGAAUGAUCCCAGUCUGAUACUUAAACAAGAUGAAAACAGGAAUGAUCCCAGUCAGACACCUAAACAAGAUGAAAACAGGAAUGAUCCCAGUCAGACACCUAAACAAGAUGAAAACAGGAGUGAUCCCAGUCAGACACUUACCUUAAACAAAGUGAUCAGAAAUGAUGGCUUCAGGAAUACAGUUUUUUCUAGAGCCUGCAGAUUCUGGAACCACAGAAUUAACCCAAUCCGAUGCAAAUAACUCAGAAUGUAUUCCAGUUGUUCGCUGUCAAUGUUGUGAAGAUUUACCAUUUCCAGUAAUUCAUCGAGUGCUACAGUUCCUGUUUUUAAAAACCCACAACAUUAAAAGUCAGCCUCUGUA
Rhincodon typus (whale shark) is the source of this 914-nucleotide long non-coding RNA. RefSeq lists it as uncharacterized. The transcript is spliced from 3 exons. Lineage: Eukaryota; Metazoa; Chordata; Chondrichthyes; Orectolobiformes; Rhincodontidae. The record is from RefSeq and is a predicted model, not a curated record.